GGCGUGUUCGUCUAGUGGUCUAGGACGCUGGCCUCUCACGCCGGUAACACGGGUUCGACCCCCGUACGCGCUA
Molecule: transfer RNA, 73 nt
Filed under: Bacteroidota bacterium
Lineage: Bacteria; Pseudomonadati; Bacteroidota
Description: Bacteroidetes bacterium (groundwater metagenome) tRNA-Glu
Rfam family: tRNA
About the family: Transfer RNA (tRNA) molecules are approximately 80 nucleotides in length.
Source: RNAcentral